This is a long non-coding RNA of Oncorhynchus keta (chum salmon), 963 nucleotides long. RefSeq lists it as uncharacterized. The transcript has 5 exons. The record is from RefSeq and is a predicted model, not a curated record. Lineage: Eukaryota; Metazoa; Chordata; Actinopteri; Salmoniformes; Salmonidae.
UAGGUAACCCUGAUGGCUCUUCUCUCUCCUACUGUAAAUGUCUAGGUAACCCUGAUGGCUCUUCUCUCUCCUACUGUAAAUGUCUAGGUAACCCUGAUGGCUCUUCUCUCUCCUACUGUAAAUGUCUAGGUAACCCUGAUGGCUCUUCUCUCUCCUACUGUAAAUGUCUAGGUAACCCUGACGGCUCUUCUCUCUCCUACUGUAAAUGUCUAGGUAACCCUGAUGGCUCUUCUCUCUCCUACUGUAAAUGUCCAGGUAACCCUGACGGCUCUUCUCUCUCCUACUGUAAAUGUCUAGGUAACCCUGACGGCUCUUCUCUCUCCUACUGUAAAUGUCUAGGUAACCCUGACGGCUCUUCUCUCUCCUACUGUAAAUGUCUAGGUAACCCUGACGGCUCUUCUCUCUCCUACUGUAAAUGUCUAGGUAACCCUGAUGGCUCUUCUCUCUCCUACUGUAAAUGUCCAGGUAACCCUGACGGCUCUUCUCUCUCCUACUGUAAAUGUCUAGGUAACCCUGAUGGCUCUUCUCUCUCCUACUGUAAAUGUCCAGGUAACCCUGACGGCUCUUCUCUCUCCUACUGUAAAUGUCUAGGUAACCCUGAUGGCUCUUCUCUCUCCUACUGUAAAUGUCCAGGUAACCCUGACGGCUCUUCUCUCUCCUACUGUAAAUGUCUAGGUAACCCUGAUGGCUCUUCUCUCUCCUACUGUAAAUGUCCAGGUAACCCUGACGGCUCUUCUCUCUCCUACUGUAAAUGUCCAGGUAACCCUGACUGAUCCUACCUACUGUAAAUGUCCAGGUAACCCUGACUGAUCCUACCUACUGUAAAUGUCCAGGUAACCCUGACGGCUCUUCUCUCUCCUACUGUAAAUGUCCAGGUAACCCUGACUGAUCCUACCUACUGUAAAUGUCCAGGUAAUCCUGACUGAUCCUACCUACUGUAAAUGUCUAGGUAACCUUGACGGC